RNAcentral lists this RNase P RNA (250 nucleotides) under Vibrio sp. D406a. RNAcentral's name for it is "partial RNase P RNA component class A". It matches the Rfam family "Bacterial RNase P class A", at positions 119 to 367 of the family's 367-position model. From Rfam's summary of the family: Ribonuclease P (RNase P) is a ubiquitous endoribonuclease, found in archaea, bacteria and eukarya as well as chloroplasts and mitochondria. Its best characterised activity is the generation of mature 5'-ends of tRNAs by cleaving the 5'-leader elements of precursor-tRNAs. Cellular RNase Ps are ribonucleoproteins. The record is from RNAcentral. Lineage: Bacteria; Pseudomonadati; Pseudomonadota; Gammaproteobacteria; Vibrionales; Vibrionaceae.
GAGAAGACCGCCGAUGGCCCGUAAGGGUACAGGUAAGGGUGAAAGGGUGCGGUAAGAGCGCACCGGACGACUAGCAAUAGUUCGUAGCAGGGUAAACUCCACCUGAAGCAAGACCAAAUAGGCCUCCACAUUGCGUUGCUCGCGUAAGGAGGCGGGUAGGUUGCUCGAGCCAGUGAGUGAUUGCUGGCCUAGACGAAUGGCUACCGCCGUGCAAGCGGAACAGAACCCGGCUUAUGUGUCGGCUCCACCU